This 1605-nucleotide unclassified non-coding RNA is filed under the name Hevea brasiliensis (rubber tree). Lineage: Eukaryota; Viridiplantae; Streptophyta; Magnoliopsida; Malpighiales; Euphorbiaceae. The record is from RNAcentral.
GGAAAAGUGAAAAAUCACCAUUUUAGCCAUUCAAUGUUUUGUCCAUUCUCAGGAUGACACAACUAAAAAUUCAAAUUACUAAUCACUUCAUGAUUCUAAGAUAAUAGUCUCAUCUAACUAUCAGGGAAACCAAACUCCUAAAUUGAUAAAUUUUCCAAUGCACUAAACAAUGUAAGGCAAUUUGAAACAAUAAAGUGAGUAUAGGAUAUUGCCCUGUUACCCUUGACAUAGCAAGUAAUUUUGAUGUUACAGGAAAAUGUUAAGAAGCUUUCUUGGGAGGAGACAUAUUAUGAAUUAGUGAAAUUACAGUGGCAGUAGUAAAUAUCUGCACAAGCAAUCCGAGCACGAGCAGAACAGUUUCAAUAAGUUCAAACUUCUUUCUUUCCAUGUCACUCAGGUUCCAAAAAACCUGGGCAGAAAAUUCAUUGUGAGAUUUUGAUGGUAAUUACUGCUUCAAUUCUAGGGUUAAACACACAGCUCCAAUGUGUUCAUUUUUAUUUAUUAACAUAGAAACUGCUGCAAACCCAACCAACAAAAUGCAAUUUUUAAAAGGAGAAAGAACACAGAUAGAAGCACCAAAUUCUUCUGUUUAUGCCAAAUUCCAUCUACUUCAGGUAUCAAGCUACAUAUAGUUCAUCCAGACAAAAGCACCUGCACUGUAGCAUCUUUACAUGGUACAAUAGGACAUUCUAUAUUUGGUAAAAUUUAACAAGAAUCAUUAGCAGAUUUGGAACCCACAUAUAACAGUUUUUCAAGAUAGAUUUUCCAAUCCAAUGAAACCUGUCAAAAGGACUAAGCAAUACUGAACCAAUGUUUGCCCUCAAAAAUAAUGAACCGACUUACCUCUAAUGUUGAAUUGCUGCUAAUGGCACAAAAUACUGAGAGAAGUAUUGCAAUAGAUGACAUGAUGAUGUAAACUCUCAAGAAACCUACUCUACUCCGUCUUCGACCUAAUUCCCCGAUGAGAAGAGAAAUCAACCCAAUGACGGAAGAUGAAAUAGUGAGUUUGUUUGGACCAUUCUCCUUUGAUGUUGAUAAAACAAUAUAUAGCAGUCCUAUCAAUAGAAUGACAGCCUGAGUUAAGAUCAGUGCAUAGAGACGAGACUUUCCUUUGGCUACCUUUGUAUAACCUAAAAUUUAAAAAUACAAAAGUUUCAAUUAAUCGAAAAAAGAAAAUGAGCAGAAAGAAGAACUUAAAGCCAUGGAAAUCUAAUUACAACUCCAAAAAACCCUAACCCCUUUUGAUUCGAACAAAUGAAAGAAGCAAGCUUACGGGAAUCAACGACCAUCCUAUACGAGAAAUCAGAGCCAUCGGUUCCAGAUGGCCUCCCUGAUUUUCUCUGCUGCAUCUUCCUUUUGUCCUCUUAAAAGCAACUCCAAGUCUACGGAGGGCACGAAGAAAUCGUGUAACAAAUAAGCUAUGGAAGUGAAGAGAAAGCAAGAACUUACAGAGAGCACAGGAGCAGGAUCGAAUGGUAAACCAAAUCAGGAUGAGAUGGAGGAGCUAGCCAGGGAUGGUGGAGACAGAGCAGCAGACCAGAGAGGAGAAAUCGAACAAGGAAAAGGGUAGAAAACAGAGACGACGAUGGUUCAGAUAGAAAUAAG